CACGUAGGGGGCAAGCGUUGUCCGGAAUCAUUGGGCGUAAAGAGCUCGUAGGCGGCUCAGUAAGUCGGGUGUGAAACCUCCAGGCUCAACCUGGAGACGCCACCCGAUACUGCUGUGGCUAGAGUCCAGUAGGGGAGUGUGGAAUUCCCGGUGUAGCGGUGAAAUGCGCAGAUAUCGGGAGGAACACCAGCGGCGAAGGCGGCACUCUGGGCUGGUACUGACGCUGAGGAGCGAAAGCGUGGGUAGCAAACAGG
RNAcentral lists this ribosomal RNA (254 nucleotides) under uncultured bacterium. Its description in RNAcentral is "partial 16S ribosomal RNA". It matches the Rfam family "Bacterial small subunit ribosomal RNA", at positions 524 to 776 of the family's 1533-position model. The record is from RNAcentral.